Long non-coding RNA from Fundulus heteroclitus (mummichog), 1176 nucleotides. RefSeq lists it as uncharacterized. The transcript has 4 exons. The record is from RefSeq and is a predicted model, not a curated record. Lineage: Eukaryota; Metazoa; Chordata; Actinopteri; Cyprinodontiformes; Fundulidae.
UACAAACUUAGGGAGUUUGUCCUGUAACCGGUUGCCAAUUCGAUCCUUCAUCAGAUGCCGAUGUUUGGCAGCCCCGCUUCUGUCAGCCUGCCUCAGGGCAGCUGUGGCUACAAACAUAGCUAAUGUGUGCUUGAAUGGGUGAAUGAGUGACUGCAGUGUAAAGUGCUUUGGAGUCGUACAAGUACAAGCCAUUUACCAUUUGUAGCUCUAUGUACAGAGUCAGGUCAUCAUUCAGAAAUAAUUGAUCAAGCUGGGAGUGUUUUAGGAACCAAGUUCACCCUGUUUGGGAGCAAAGAACCCUGUCUACUGGGUAGGUUGGGUUGUGGUGGUGCCACAACCCCCCAUCUUGAUUUCAGGGUUCACCUACCGUGUCCGGGGGCCUGGUACCCCUUUAGGGUGCCGGUGCCCAGACCUGGGAGUAUUGGAUGUGAGUGGUAUAUGCGAAUGUGUAUACGCCGUCUUUUUUUUUUUUGUAGAGCCUGUGUGUUGUGCGUGGGGGCACUAAGGUGGGAAGGUGAGAAUGAGACUGUAUUUAUUUUCUCAUUUAUUUUCUCUGUUUGUUUACUUGUCAGGGUUGGGUCUGAACUGCUCCCUCUCCCAAGAACAUCUCAAGUCCCCGCUAAGUGUGGAGCCCAUCCCCCGUCCUGCCCCCCUCCGCUGGCUGGUGCCUUGGCCCACUGCUGCAUUGGUGGUACUUGGUGUCUGGGGGUGCAUGCCCAGGGCCCUACUGCAGACAGUAGAAGUCAAGGCUGCAUAGAGAUGUAUAGAGAUGAGCACCAGGUCUUACUAGUAAGGACAGGACUCUGCAGGAAUUCCCGAGUUGCUCUCAAUUGACCCUGUCUGACUCUGACUGGGAGCCAGACACAGAAGACCUAGUUGAGCAGACUCAGCUGGGGGGUUAAGGGGUCAAAGAAACAGAGGCCUGGGAUGAGCUAGAAUUCAAGCCAGGAGCAGAGCAAGAGAAAGAGCACCAACUCAGCCAGCAAAGGGCUGAUAACUUGAUGUUGAGAAGCCAGAUGUCGCACACAUCCAGCUCAUAUUUCAUCCCACAAAGGGCCCAGGUUACCAGCUUUUGAGCACAUUGAACUACAGUCUCCUUCAACUGUUUCCUUUCAACAAUUAGCAUGGCAGAGCUACACAGUCGACAGUACAGAAGGGCAUUACCAUUCAAGAGCA